AACGAACGCUGGCGGCAGGCCUAACACAUGCAAGUCGAGCGCCCCGCAAGGGGAGGCGGCGGACGGGUGAGUAACACGUGGGAAUUUUCCUUCAAGGUACGGAACAACUCAGGGAAACUUGGGCUAAUACCGUAUGAUGCAGAGAUGCCAAAGAUUUAUCGCCUUGGGAUAAGCCCGCGUCAGAUUAGGUAGUUGGUGGGGUAAUGGCCUACCAAGCCUGUGAUCUGUAGCUGGUCUGAGAGGACGAUCAGCCACAUUGGGACUGAGACACGGCCCAAACUCCUACGGGAGGCAGCAGUGGGGAAUCUUGCGCAAUGGGCGAAAGCCUGACGCAGCCAUGCCGCGUGAAUGAUGAAGGUCUUAGGAUUGUAAAGUUCUUUUAGCCUGUGACGAUGAUGACGGUAACAGGAGAAUAAGCCCCGGCUAACUUCGUG
Molecule: ribosomal RNA, 434 nt
Filed under: uncultured bacterium
Lineage: Bacteria
Description: bacterial SSU rRNA
Rfam family: Bacterial small subunit ribosomal RNA
Source: RNAcentral